Long non-coding RNA from Fukomys damarensis (Damara mole-rat), 1055 nucleotides. The record is from Ensembl. NCBI's taxonomy places the organism in Eukaryota, Metazoa, Chordata, Mammalia, Rodentia, Bathyergidae.
GGGAAUUUGGAGAAUUGGUUGUUGAAAAAAUCUACAUAUUUUUUGUCAGAAUUGCUAGGAGUAAAAUCAACAGAAGUAAAGGGAGCUACAUAGCAGUUAAUAUUUUCAAUUUAAUUUGAAAUAUAGACUAUUAAAUCUAAGUCAACUAUGAAAAGUUAACUACAUAUAGUGUAAUACCUCAAGCACUACUUUCAGACUAUACAGAGAGACAAAGGAAUGAGUGAAUGAAUAAAAAUAAAAUACUAGAAUGUGUUUAAAUAAUCCAAAAGAAGAUAGGAAAGGGGAAAUAAUGAAAAUCAGAAAGCAAAACAAAUUACAAAUAGUAAAGCAAAAAUAUAUCGAUAAUUACAUUGAAUAGGGGAUCUGUGAUCAUUAAUUGUAAUGUGUCAGCUUGAAUGGAUUAAGAAAUGCCCAAUUACUGAAACACAUUUCUGGGUGUAUGGGUGAAUGAUUCACAUAUAGGAUGCAAAUAGAGUAGGCAAUGAACAAUAGACUUUUGGCUUGGGUGGAAUAAAAAGGAAGACAAGAAGAAAACCUUCCCUUGUUUGCUUCUUUGCAGGAGCUGUGGUCUUCACCAUUCUCUUUGAACAUUCAUCUCCACUUCCUUUAGGCUUCUAGCAGACUAUUUAGCUAUUCAAAACCAGAUCUUCCAGCUUUGACAUGCACUUGCACUGAACUCUGUGUGUGCAGGAGGAAUAAAAUUUGUGGUGAGGCAGUUUACCACACUGGCCUCCAGGAGGGUGAAGAAAGAGCACGCAUCCGCGUGGGAAGGAGCUGUGCAGUGACCCUGAGAACAUCGGAGGGACCUACGCCUGCGCCGUCUAAUCCACACGAAGAGGGUCUGUGUCUUCACCCUGGUGACAGGAAUCUGAAAUUUAAGAGAAAAACUCUGUGACCUCUGGCUUGUGCCGUGAAGCAGAAAUCUACUUCUUUGUUGGUAAGUUUUUGUUUCGUCUUGCAAUUUAGAAAAAAAUAUUUUUUGGUACUGGGGAUCGAACUCGGGUCCUUGUGCUUGCAAGGCAGGUGGCAGAGUCACUGAUCUAAAUCCCUGGCCC